This 501-nucleotide ribosomal RNA is filed under the name uncultured Comamonadaceae bacterium. Its description in RNAcentral is "bacterial SSU rRNA". It matches the Rfam family "Bacterial small subunit ribosomal RNA", at positions 1014 to 1519 of the family's 1533-position model. Lineage: Bacteria; Pseudomonadati; Pseudomonadota; Betaproteobacteria; Burkholderiales; Comamonadaceae. The record is from RNAcentral.
GUGCUCGAAAGAGAACCGUAACACAGGUGCUGCAUGGCUGUCGUCAGCUCGUGUCGUGAGAUGUUGGGUUAAGUCCCGCAACGAGCGCAACCCUUGCCAUUAGUUGCUACGAAAGGGCACUCUAAUGGGACUGCCGGUGACAAACCGGAGGAAGGUGGGGAUGACGUCAAGUCCUCAUGGCCCUUAUAGGUGGGGCUACACACGUCAUACAAUGGCCGGUACAAAGGGUAGCCAACCCGCGAGGGGGAGCCAAUCCCAUAAAGCCGGUCGUAGUCCGGAUCGCAGUCUGCAACUCGACUGCGUGAAGUCGGAAUCGCUAGUAAUCGUGGAUCAGCAUGUCACGGUGAAUACGUUCCCGGGUCUUGUACACACCGCCCGUCACACCAUGGGAGCGGGUCUCGCCAGAAGUAGUUAGCCUAACCGCAAGGAGGGCGAUUACCACGGCGGGGUUCGUGACUGGGGUGAAGUCGUAACAAGGUAGCCGUAUCGGAAGGUGCGGCU